UGGCGGAAGCUUACACAUGCAAGUCGAGCGGUAGCACAGGGGAGCUUGCUCCCCGGGUGACGAGCGGCGGACGGGUGAGUAAUGUCUGGGAAACUGCCUGAUGGAGGGGGAUAACUACUGGAAACGGUAGCUAAUACCGCAUAACGUCGCAAGACCAAAGAGGGGGACCUUCGGGCCUCUUGCCAUCAAAUGUGCCCAGAUGGGAUUAGCUAGUAUGUGGGGUAAUGGCUCACCUAGGCGACGAUCCCUAGCUGGUCUGAGAGGAUGACCAGCCAUACUGGAACUGAGACACGGUCCAGACUCCUACGGGAGGCAGCAGUGGGGAAUAUUGCACA
RNAcentral lists this ribosomal RNA (335 nucleotides) under Serratia sp. (in: enterobacteria). RNAcentral describes it as "bacterial SSU rRNA". It matches the Rfam family "Bacterial small subunit ribosomal RNA", at positions 37 to 370 of the family's 1533-position model. Lineage: Bacteria; Pseudomonadati; Pseudomonadota; Gammaproteobacteria; Enterobacterales; Yersiniaceae. The record is from RNAcentral.